Molecule: ribosomal RNA, 868 nt
Filed under: Streptomyces sp.
Lineage: Bacteria; Bacillati; Actinomycetota; Actinomycetes; Kitasatosporales; Streptomycetaceae
Description: bacterial SSU rRNA
Rfam family: Bacterial small subunit ribosomal RNA
Source: RNAcentral
UCCUGGUGGAUUAGUGGCGACGGGUGAGUAACACGUGGGCAAUCUGCCCUUCACUUCGGGACAAGCCCUGGAAACGGGGUCUAAUACCGGAUAAUACUUUUCCCCUCAUGGGGGGAAGUUGAAAGCUCCGGCGGUGAAGGAUGAGCCCGCGGCCUAUCAGCUAGUUGGUGGGGUAAUGGCCUACCAAGGCGACGACGGGUAGCCGGCCUGAGAGGGCGACCGGCCACACUGGGACUGAGACACGGCCCAGACUCCUACGGGAGGCAGCAGUGGGGAAUAUUGCACAAUGGGCGAAAGCCUGAUGCAGCGACGCCGCGUGAGGGAUGACGGCCUUCGGGUUGUAAACCUCUUUCAGCAGGGAAGAAGCGCAAGUGACGGUACCUGCAGAAGAAGCACCGGCUAACUACGUGCCAGCAGCCGCGGUAAUACGUAGGGUGCGAGCGUUGUCCGGAAUUAUUGGGCGUAAAGAGCUCGUAGGCGGCUUGUCACGUCGGUUGUGAAAGCCCGGGGCUUAACCCCGGGUCUGCAGUCGAUACGGGCAGGCUAGAGUGUGGUAGGGGAGAUCGGAAUUCCUGGUGUAGCGGUGAAAUGCGCAGAUAUCAGGAGGAACACCGGUGGCGAAGGCGGAUCUCUGGGCCAUUACUGACGCUGAGGAGCGAAAGCGUGGGGAGCGAACAGGAUUAGAUACCCUGGUAGUCCACGCCGUAAACGUUGGGAACUAGGUGUUGGCGACAUUCCACGUCGUCGGUGCCGCAGCUAACGCAUUAAGUUCCCCGCCUGGGGAGUACGGCGCAGGCUAAACUCAAGGAGUGACGGGGCCCGCACAGCAGCGGAGCAUGUGGCUAAUUCGACGCAACGCGAAGAACCC